Molecule: ribosomal RNA, 429 nt
Filed under: Gemmatimonadota bacterium
Lineage: Bacteria; Pseudomonadati; Gemmatimonadota
Description: Gemmatimonadetes bacterium partial 16S ribosomal RNA
Rfam family: Bacterial small subunit ribosomal RNA
Source: RNAcentral
UAGGGAAUCUUCGGCAAUGGACGAAAGUCUGACCGAGCAACGCCGCGUGAGUGAAGAAGGUUUUCGGAUCGUAAAACUCUGUUGUUAGAGAAGAACAAGGACGUUAGUAACUGAACGUCCCCUGACGGUAUCUAACCAGAAAGCGACGGCUAACUACGUGCCAGCAGCCGCGGUAAUACGUAGGUGGCAAGCGUUGUCCGGAUUUAUUGGGCGUAAAGCGAGCGCAGGCGGUUUCUUAAGUCUGAUGUGAAAGCCCCCGGCUCAACCGGGGAGGGUCAUUGGAAACUGGGAGAGUUGAGUGCAGAAGAGGAGAGUGGAAUUCCAUGUGUAGCGGUGAAAUGCGUAGAUAUAUGGAGGAACACCAGUGGCGAAGGCGGCUCUCUGGUCUGUAACUGACGCUGAGGCUCGAAAGCGUGGGGAGCAAACAGG